This 223-nucleotide unclassified non-coding RNA is filed under the name plant metagenome. RNAcentral's name for it is "partial contains small subunit ribosomal RNA, internal transcribed spacer 1, and 5.8S ribosomal RNA". The record is from RNAcentral.
UUUCCGUAGGUGAACCUGCGGAAGGAUCAUUAAAGAGAAUAUGCCCUUCGGGGUAGAUCUCCCACCCUUUGUUUAUAUUACCUUUGUUGCUUUGGCAGGCCCGUCUUCGGACCACCGGCUUCGGCUGGUCAGUGCUUGCCAGAGGACCCAAAACUCUUAUUAUUAAUGUCGUCUGAGUACUAUAUAAUGGUCAAAACUUUCAACAACGGAUCUCUUGGUUCUG